This 920-nucleotide long non-coding RNA is filed under the name Chrysolophus pictus (golden pheasant). RNAcentral's name for it is "lncRNA (ENSCPIG00010009009.1)". The record is from RNAcentral. Lineage: Eukaryota; Metazoa; Chordata; Aves; Galliformes; Phasianidae.
UUAUUUAUUUAUUUACUUACUUACUUCCAGGUGUCCUUUUUUUCUUCAAGACAAAUGAAUGGGGAAAAAAGAAAACUCCAGAUGUCACCGCAUUCACCAGGCUGGACUCUCAUCUAAGAUGUCGUUUCUCUCAAGCUGCUUGGUUCAACUUUAAAAAUGGGAACUAUUUAACUAAGGAGUGGUGAGAUAAGCUCCCUUGUUGGUUCUUUUGAGUAUUCCUCAGAUGGUGAAGCAUACUACAAGACUCUAAUAUUAAAUAUCUGCCACAGCAGAUCAUCAUAGCCACAAACGUCAGCUUUGUUGUGCGUAAUGUCAGAUCUAUUUGUAAAUACUUCUUGCAGAUGGGUGAACAUAUUACCAGAGCCAUCUGCUCCUGCUAAUAUCCCAUUGAAAAUGAAGAAUGUAUUCAGCUGCUUCUUCUAUACAGUCCAUGUAAGAAGCACAGUGUCAGCUGCUUUGCCUGAACUACUGCAUUUGGUGUUUGGAGACCACCCACAUCCUUUGGUUAAUGUGAUGGGAAUUUGCUGGGCACGUGGACACUAGGCUAUCAACUCAGAGGUGGGAUUUAUAUGAAGAGAUAUAUGAGAAAUGCUUUUCUAAAUUAGCAGUGGGUUUAUUAUUAAACAGGAAUAUCCUGGCCGUGGAUCUUCAACAAGAAUCAAGCUGUGGUUUUGCUCCAUGUUUGUACAGAAAUAUGAUGCGCAUAAUUAUAUAAUGGCAGCAGCAGCCAGCUUUUUGAGACGUCCACCAGAGGACGCACACCUGCAGCACACCUUCACAACAGCACUACUAGCUAUCCCUGCCCUUUGAGACAUUUGUGUCUCCUGCUGACACAGUACUCUGCCAUAGUCCUGGCCCUGGCUGUGCUGCAGCCUCCACCUUGGCCUUUAUUCACGUGAUGGAGGUGCAGCAGAUUCGAU